UGCAAGUCGAGCGAAUGGAUUGAGAGCUUGCUCUCAAGAAGUUAGCGGCGGACGGGUGAGUAACACGUGGGUAACCUGCCCAUAAGACUGGGAUAACUCCGGGAAACCGGGGCUAAUACCGGAUAACAUUUUGAACUGCAUGGUUCGAAAUUGAAAGGCGGCUUCGGCUGUCACUUAUGGAUGGACCCGCGUCGCAUUAGCUAGUUGGUGAGGUAACGGCUCACCAAGGCAACGAUGCGUAGCCGACCUGAGAGGGUGAUCGGCCACACUGGGACUGAGACACGGCCCAGACUCCUACGGGAGGCAGCAGUAGGGAAUCUUCCGCAAUGGACGAAAGUCUGACGGAGCAACGCCGCGUGAGUGAUGAAGGCUUUCGGGUCGUAAAACUCUGUUGUUAGGGAAGAACAAGUGCUAGUUGAAUAAGCUGGCACCUUGACGGUACCUAACCAGAAAGCCACGGCUAACUACGUGCCAGCAGCCGCGGUAAUACGUAGGUGGCAAGCGUUAUCCGGAAUUAUUGGGCGUAAAGCGCGCGCAGGUGGUUUCUUAAGUCUGAUGUGAAAGCCCACGGCUCAACCGUGGAGGGUCAUUGGAAACUGGGAGACUUGAGUGCAGAAGAGGAAAGUGGAAUUCCAUGUGUAGCGGUGAAAUGCGUAGAGAUAUGGAGGAACACCAGUGGCGAAGGCGACUUUCUGGUCUGUAACUGACACUGAGGCGCGAAAGCGUGGGGAGCAAAC
This 737-nucleotide ribosomal RNA is filed under the name Bacillus thuringiensis. RNAcentral describes it as "bacterial SSU rRNA". It matches the Rfam family "Bacterial small subunit ribosomal RNA", at positions 56 to 773 of the family's 1533-position model. The record is from RNAcentral. Lineage: Bacteria; Bacillati; Bacillota; Bacilli; Caryophanales; Bacillaceae.